Eucalyptus grandis is the source of this 2031-nucleotide RNA transcript. RefSeq lists it as uncharacterized. NCBI's taxonomy places the organism in Eukaryota, Viridiplantae, Streptophyta, Magnoliopsida, Myrtales, Myrtaceae. The transcript has 13 exons. The record is from RefSeq and is a predicted model, not a curated record.
CAUACUCGAAUCUGGUUCUAAGCGGCUGCUGUUAGAGAGAGAAACUCGGCAAAUGUAGAGAGAGAGGAUGGGGACGAGGACCAAUUUCUACAAGAAUCCUUCUUUCGCUUACAACGGAGACUUCAAUCUCUCCUCCGCUCUUCGGAACCUCAAAGCUUACAACAUCGUGACCGGAAGCGCCUCCUUGACCGAUGGAGAAUCUCCAAACGACGAGAAUGCCGAGUGCCGCCGCCGCCGCCGCCGCCGCCGCCGCCGGGACUCUGAAGCGCCGCGUGGCGGGAGCGGCGUCGCCGUGGAGGACGAUCGGCCGAUGUCGCAUGAGGAAUACGUCCAAAAGAGCAGGCAAUUGUGGACUUUGUAGUAUCUCUGUUCUUACGGUGUCGAGUUGAUUGAGCAGGAGAGCACGGGUCAGGUUUAUCAGGAAUUGACUCCCGAUGUUCUGGGGGCUUCGAGUUCGGGUUUGAACUUAGUUGACUACGCAAGUAAUUCCUGUUUGGGAUUUGUGGUUGAUAGGGAUAAACAUGUCUCCAAAGCAUUUAGAUGUCAUUGCUCGUGCAAUUUAGAUGUUAAUCUUGUAUUGUUGCCAUUCUUGCAGGCGAUGGAAGCACUUCUGAAAGGGAUGAAGAGAAGGAGACUGAAAUUUGUGGUAAUAUUGUUGAAGGUGACCAAACCAAUGGAAAAGCAAUCUAGGUAAAGAUUAGAAGUGAGCAAAGAUUUCCCCUGCCCGGAGAACCGGUUUGCCUGGUGUGUGGUGAAAAUGGAGAAUAUAUUUGCGAUGAGCUUGGAGUGCAAAGCAGUGCUUUUACAGACUCUUAAAUUUAAAGAGGAUCCCUUGAGCAACCAAAGUCCGGUCACAGCUUCAGCUGAGUUUGUUUCUGGAUCAUCUGUGCCUGAAGAAGAAAAUGAUGCUUGGGAUUAUGUUCGGCACUGGUGGUCCAAUAGGAAAUCCAGUCUCUCCACUUAUCUAUGUGCUAGCUGUCAGAGGCCUGGGCACCUUGCUGAAGAUUGCUUGGUUGCAGCUGGACAAAACAAAUCAACUUCCAUACCCAAAGAUCUUCUGGGACUUUAUAGAAGAUGCGAGCAGAUAGGGAAAAGCUCGUCUGCAGCAAGCUGCAAUGAAUGUCAAUCCACGUAUAGUUUGGUGACUUGCCUUGAUUGUAAUAGAGUAAUAUGUGAUGGUGCAGGUCAUUUGGAUGAGCACGUUAGAAUGAAUUCCUCUCACUGACGAUAUUAUUCUCACAAGCUCAAGCAUUUGGUGAAAUGCAGUAAAGCAACAUGCAAAGUGACAGAUAUAUCUGAUCUUUUGGGUUGCCAUUACUGUUUUGACAAAGCAUUUGACAAAUUCUAUGAUAUGUGUACUGCAAGUUGGAAAGGAGCAGGACUUGCUAUUAUAAGAGGGUCUAUUAGCUGCGAAGAUCAUUUUUCAUGGCACAGAAUGAAUUUUCUGAAUGCCAGUGCGGAAGAUAGUGCGUAUAUUGUGAGUAGGCAUCCUCAAAGGAGCAAGCAUGUUCAGAUCAGCGAAUUCAUUUUCUUAUCCUUGGCGGGGGAGAAACCAGGCAUCGGUUCCUGUACAGCUAUUUAUGGUGAGAGAAAGAGAGAGAGAGAGCUGCUGGCGCGACUUUCAAGAUCCUGGGUUUUCAAGUCCAGCAGCAGCGUCGUCAAUGGAAGAAUAUGAUCUGACUAGUUGGUCAGCUAGAAUCGCAAUCUCCGACUUGUAUAGUUCGUCGCCGCCUAUUGGUUUGAAGAGGAUGCUAGCUAUGGAGUGUAGGGACUUCAUGUUUCCCAGUUGAUUAAAGCAUUCUUCUUCCUCUGCAUGUCGUUAUAGUGUGCAACACCUAAAAGGAAAAGGAAAAAAAAAGUUGCUCUGAAUGACAUGGCUCAUGCUAUAGACUGUUUUAGGUCGAUCACUAUAUUUAACUUUGACAAGUUGUUCUUGGCAAUUCUUUGUAACCUUAUGGUUUAGCUGAGUCAAAUUCUUGUUUGUCCGCAAUUAUUCUCAAUGGCAUGAUGGCAUGUUUGUUAAAGAUUUUA